Molecule: ribosomal RNA, 494 nt
Filed under: Escherichia coli
Lineage: Bacteria; Pseudomonadati; Pseudomonadota; Gammaproteobacteria; Enterobacterales; Enterobacteriaceae
Description: partial 23S ribosomal RNA
Rfam family: Bacterial large subunit ribosomal RNA
Source: RNAcentral
ACUCAGUGAAAUUGAACUCGCUGUGAAGAUGCAGUGUACCCGCGGCAAGACGGAAAGACCCCGUGAACCUUUACUAUAGCUUGACACUGAACAUUGAGCCUUGAUGUGUAGGAUAGGUGGGAGGCUUGGAAGUGUGGACGCCAGUCUGCAUGGAGCCGACCUUGAAAUACCACCCUUUAAUGUUUGAUGUUCUAACGUUGACCCGUGAUCCGGGUUGCGGACAGUGUCUGGUGGGUAGUUUGACUGGGGCGGUCUCCUCCUAAAGAGUAACGGAGGAGCACGAAGGUUGGCUAAUCCUGGUCGGACAUCAGGAGGUUAGUGCAAUGGCAUAAGCCAGCUUGACUGCGAGCGUGACGGCGCGAGCAAGAUGAGUUCUCCCUGACUCCUUGAGAGUCCUGAAGGAACGUUGAAGACGACGACGUUGAUAGGCCGGGUGUGUAAGCGCAGCGAUGCGUUGAGCUAACCGGUACUAAUGAACCGUGAGGCUUAACCUU